CCUACGGGUGGCAGCAGUGAGGAAUAUUGGUCAAUGGGCGGAAGCCUGAACCAGCCAAGUAGCGUGCAGGAUGACGGCCCUAAGGGUUGUAACCUGCUGUUAUACGGGAAUAACGCGCCUUACGUGUAGGGCUUUGCAUGUACCGUAUGAAUAAGGACCGGCUAAUUCCGUGCCAGCAGCCGCGGUACUACGGCAGUGCCGGGCGUUAUCCGGAUGUAUUGGUUUUAAAGGGAGCGUAGGCCGCAUGUCAAGCGUGCUGUGAAAUGUCCGGGCUCAACCCGGGCCUUGCAGCGCGAACUGGCGUGCUUGAGUCCGCGGAAAGCAGGCGGAAUUCGUCGUGUAGCGGGGAAAUGCUUAGAUAUGACGAAGAACCCCGAUUGCGAAGGCAGCUUGCUGCAGCGGAACUGACGCUGAUGCUCGAAAGCGCGGGUAUCGAACAGGAUUAGAUACCCCAGUAGUC
Molecule: ribosomal RNA, 460 nt
Filed under: uncultured bacterium
Lineage: Bacteria
Description: partial 16S ribosomal RNA
Rfam family: Bacterial small subunit ribosomal RNA
Source: RNAcentral